UACGUAGGGUGCAAGCGUUAAUCGGAAUUACUGGGCGUAAAGCGUGCGCAGGCGGCUUUGCAAGACAGAUGUGAAAUCCCCGGGCUUAACCUGGGAACUGCAUUUGUGACUGGCAAGCUAGAGUAUGGCAGAGGGGGGUAGAAUUCCACGUGUAGCAGUGAAAUGCGUAGAGAUGUGGAGGAAUACCGAUGGCGAAGGCAGCCCCCUGGGCCAAUACUGACGCUCAUGCACGAAAGCGUGGGGAGCAAACAGG
This 253-nucleotide ribosomal RNA is filed under the name uncultured bacterium. Its description in RNAcentral is "partial 16S ribosomal RNA". It matches the Rfam family "Bacterial small subunit ribosomal RNA", at positions 524 to 776 of the family's 1533-position model. The record is from RNAcentral.